Molecule: small nuclear RNA, 128 nt
Organism: Monodelphis domestica (gray short-tailed opossum)
Lineage: Eukaryota; Metazoa; Chordata; Mammalia; Didelphimorphia; Didelphidae
Gene: U4
Rfam family: U4 spliceosomal RNA
About the family: U4 small nuclear RNA (U4 snRNA) is a component of the major U2-dependent spliceosome.
Source: Ensembl
AGCUUUGCACAGUGGCAGUAUCAUAGCCAAUCAGGUUUAACCUAGGUGUAAUUAUUGCUAAUUGAAAACUCUAAGAUAAAUGAUAAAGAGUUUUUUUAAAAAAAUAAAUGGAAAAGAAAGUGUGGUCU